UCCCUGGUAGUAUAUCGGUUUAGUACACGCGCCUGUCAAACAGAGUAUUGUCGCGCGAAAGCUGGGUUCGACUCCCAGCCAGGGAG
Non-coding RNA from Stygiomarasmius scandens, 86 nucleotides. The record is from the annotation of a GenBank genome assembly. NCBI's taxonomy places the organism in Eukaryota, Fungi, Basidiomycota, Agaricomycetes, Agaricales, Campanellaceae.